AUGGUGCCCACAAUUUAUAUAUAUAUUUUUUUUAAAUGUUUUUCUUUUUUUGGAGUGCAUGUAGGAAACCCGCUUUGCAGCCAGUGGACUGGAGAAGCCCAUGAUGAAUGGUUCCCCAGCAAGCAAAACCCCACCACAGUAGUCUGGGGAGAGGCACCAGCACCAACCCAAGCAACAGGGAGACCUGAAGAGAGGCAGCAGUAUUCCUCCUUCCCAGUUCGGGUCAGAGGGAGGUGUCAGCACCUGACUCUUGAUACAGUUGGAGAAUCUGAGACAAAGCUACAGGCUUCUGGUUACAGUUUCCACGGGAACAGAUGUUGGAUCAGCACAAAAAGAAGAGCUCAAAAGAGACUGCUCUUCAGCCUUCACCUCUACCUUGAUUUUGAUAUUCAAACCUCACACUCAGAGACACAGAGCAAGCUGCCUUCAGUGCCCAGCAAGCUCCAAGCCAAGUACCCAGAUCUUCAGGCUAUGGACAGGUGACCAAGACACCUUCUUCUUCCCUAAAAGGGAAGUGUGUUAGAUCCAUUGCAGUGUCUCCUCCCUGUUCCUGGUUACCAAUCCCUGUUCUUGGUUUAAAGUGGUGAGCACCUUCAAUACUGCAAGUGGCUUCUAGAGAACGCCCAUCAGUACGGACAAUAAAUGAACCAUGCACCCUGGGUUGUUAUAGCCA
RNAcentral lists this long non-coding RNA (673 nucleotides) under Crocodylus porosus (Australian saltwater crocodile). Its description in RNAcentral is "lncRNA (ENSCPRG00005005393.1)". Lineage: Eukaryota; Metazoa; Chordata; Crocodylia; Crocodylidae. The record is from RNAcentral.